RNAcentral lists this ribosomal RNA (488 nucleotides) under uncultured bacterium. Its description in RNAcentral is "partial 16S ribosomal RNA". It matches the Rfam family "Bacterial small subunit ribosomal RNA", at positions 29 to 507 of the family's 1533-position model. The record is from RNAcentral.
AUGAGCGCUAGCGGCAGGCUUAAUACCUGCAAGUCGUGGGGCAGCAGGACUGUAGCAAUACAGUUGCUGGCGACCGGCAAACGGGUGCGGAACACGUACGCAACUUACCCUGAACUGGGGGAUAGCCCGGGGAAACCCGGAUUAAUACCCCGUAAUAUAAUGGAGUGGCAUCACUUUAUUAUUAAAGCUCCGGCGGUUCGGGAUGGGCGUGCGGCUGAUUAGGUAGUUGGUUGAGGUAACGGCUCACCAAGCCUACGAUCAGUAACUGGUGUGAGAGCACGACCAGUCACACGGGCACUGAGACACGGGCCCGACUCCUACGGGAGGCAGCAGUAAGGAAUAUUGGGCAAUGGAGGCAACUCUGACCCAGCCAUGCCGCGUGGAGGAUGAAGGCCCUCUGGGUUGUAAACUUCUUUUAUGGGGGACGAAACCUGUGUAUUCUUACGCAGUUGACGGUACCCUAGGAAUAAGCACCGGCUAACUCCGUG